This 293-nucleotide long non-coding RNA is filed under the name Mus pahari (shrew mouse). Its description in RNAcentral is "lncRNA (MGP_PahariEiJ_G0002546.1)". The record is from RNAcentral. Lineage: Eukaryota; Metazoa; Chordata; Mammalia; Rodentia; Muridae.
AUGUUUCCUGCUUGAGGUGGGGGAGGGGCGUCUUCUCUUCCCGCGUCCCGAACCCCGCGUCCGAGAUCCUCGUGGUCCUCUGGCACCUCUCACUCGGCGGGUUUACGCCACAGGGUGAAUUGCGACCCCACACUGCUCAGCCUGGCUGGACGCUAGCUUCGCCCUGGCCCCCACCAGAAGCAUGAGUCGGACCGUGUUUCAACAAGCAGAGUAAAUGUCUCUGAGUCAGACAUUUUGAGGCACAGAUUCAACUAGAAUGCAGAUCUUAUGAUUGAGGUGAUGACGUCACUGGG